GUUGCAGUUAAAAGCUCGUAGUUGAACCUUGGGCCUGGCUGACCGGUCCGCCUCACCGCGUGCACUGGUUCGGCCGGGCCUUUCCUUCUGCGGAACGGCAUGCCCUUCACUGGGUGUGUUCGGGAAGCAGGACUUUUACUUUGAAAAAAUUAGAGUGUUCAAAGCAGGCCUUUGCUCGAAUACAUUAGCAUGGAAUAAUAGAAUAGGACGGCGCUCCUAUUUUGUUGGUUUCUAGGAGAGCCGUAAUGAUUAAUAGGGACAGUUGGGGGCAUCCGUAUUCAGUUGUCAGAGGUGAAAUUCUUGGAUUUACUGAAGACGAACUACUGCGAAAGCAUUUGCCAAAGAUGUUUUCAUUAAUCAGUGAACGAAAGUUAGGGGAUCGAAGACGAUCAGAUACCGUCGUAGUCUUAACCAUAAACUAUGCCGACUAGGGAUCGGGCGAUGUUAUUGUAUUGACUCGCUCGGCACCUUUCGAGAAAUCAAAGUGUUUGGGUUCUGGGGGGAGUAUGGUCGCAAGGCUGAAACUUAAAGAAAUUGACGGAAGGGCACCACCAGGAGUGGAGCCUGCGGCUUAAUUUGACUCAACACGGGGAAACUCACCAGGUCCAGAUACACGUAGGAUUGACAGAUUGAGAGCUCUUUCUUGAUUGUGUAGUUGGUGGUGCAUGGCCGUUCUUAGUUGGUGGAGUGAUUUGUCUGCUUAAUUGCGAUAACGAACGAGACCUUCAUCGUUAACUAGCCCGGCUCGCCUUGGCGGGUCGCCGGCUUCUUAGCGAGACUUUUGGCUUAAGCCAAAGGAAGUUGGAGCAUAACAGGUCUGUGAUGCCCUUAGAUGUCUGGGCUGCACGCGCGCUACACUGAC
RNAcentral lists this ribosomal RNA (862 nucleotides) under uncultured fungus. Its description in RNAcentral is "SSU rRNA". It matches the Rfam family "Eukaryotic small subunit ribosomal RNA", at positions 612 to 1507 of the family's 1831-position model. The record is from RNAcentral. Lineage: Eukaryota; Fungi.